This 488-nucleotide unclassified non-coding RNA is filed under the name Hevea brasiliensis (rubber tree). Lineage: Eukaryota; Viridiplantae; Streptophyta; Magnoliopsida; Malpighiales; Euphorbiaceae. The record is from RNAcentral.
GAAGACCUUCCUUUUUGGAUAUUCUCAAGAGGCUUGAAAAGAUUAAGGAAACUUUACCUGCAGAUCAUCAUUGGAGCAUAUUCAAUGCAUAACGCUGAGAGCAAUGGCAUGGUCAAAUAUACAGAUCUAUGUGCCACUCAUGCCUGUCAUUUCUCCUACCCACAAUUGUGCAGAUGGUGCUGUGAAUAGAUUUGACUGACAUUGUGAGUUACUGCUGUCGCUGAUUUGCAGUUAAUGCAUCAGAUUUUACCAGGGUCAGAGUUGGUAUUCACUAGUCUUUUCAUAUUGAUCUCAAGCCAGCAUUGUCGAGUAAUAUCAUUCAAUUAGGAUGAUUAAACAUGUUCAUUAUCUGACCCAGGUAUUUUCCAUUGUUUUCCAACUGUAAUUUGUUGUGGUUUAUGAUAUAUGAGAGUUGGCAACAUUAUAUGUCCAACAAUAAAAACACCUAGGAGCUUCAAAAGUUUGGACAUAUAAUGUUGCCAACUCUC